This 485-nucleotide ribosomal RNA is filed under the name uncultured bacterium. Its description in RNAcentral is "bacterial SSU rRNA". It matches the Rfam family "Bacterial small subunit ribosomal RNA", at positions 28 to 507 of the family's 1533-position model. The record is from RNAcentral.
GAUGAACGCUAGCGACAGGCUUAACACAUGCAAGUCGAGGGGCAGCACAGGGUAGCAAUACUUGGGUGGCGACCGGCGCACGGGUGAGUAACGCGUAUGCAACUUACCUAUCAGAGGGGGAUAGCCCGGCGAAAGUCGGAUUAAUACCCCAUGAAACAGGGGUCCCGCAUGGGAAUAUUUGUUAAAGAUUCAUCGCUGAUAGAUAGGCAUGCGUUCCAUUAGGCAGUUGGCGGGGUAACGGCCCACCAAACCGACGAUGGAUAGGGGUUCUGAGAGGAAGGUCCCCCANAUUGGUACUGAGACACGGUCCAAACUCCUACGGGAGGCAGCAGUGAGGAAUAUUGGUCAAUGGGCGAGAGCCUGAACCAGCCAAGUAGCGUGCAGGAUGACGGCCCUAUGGGUUGUAAACUGCUUUAUAAGGGAAUAAAGUGGGAGUCGUGACUCUUUUGCAUGUACCUUAUGAAUAAGGACCGGCUAAUUCCGUG